Molecule: small RNA, 28 nt
Filed under: Bombyx mori (domestic silkworm)
Lineage: Eukaryota; Metazoa; Arthropoda; Insecta; Lepidoptera; Bombycidae
Description: ovarian small RNA-27645
Source: RNAcentral
UCCGUUCUUGGUUGGUGUGCUAUGUAGC